GUAUCAGUCUAACAGUAGACACAGACUUUUACAUUAACUGUAAACAUCUCACUGCUCUGUUUGAAAACAGCCUUUUGUCGCUGACUGUGAAAGGAUGAAGUGCAUUGUGGUCUUUCUCGUGUUGUCCGUGGUCAUUCUCAUGGCUGAACCUGCUGAUGGUUCCAAUGGAGGGCCAAAGAAAUUCAUCGUGCCUGGUUGCGAGAAGUAUUACGAGAAUCGUCAGCGUCGCUACAAAGAGGAGUUGAAGCAGAAGCAGGCGGGGCAGCAAUGGCUUGUAAAACGUGGUUGCUUCUUUCUACUUGGCUGAAACUACGUUUUGGAUGAAAUAAGACGCUUCUUGCGCUUCAAAAUGAGAAAGAAAAGUAUCUAUUAAGUGUGACAACCACUUCUUGACGAUACAAAUGUCUUGGUUUAAUGCACUGCAGAAUUUUGAUCAAAUUUGGUGGAUGGUCAGUUGUUCAGAAUAAAUAAGCAUCGCAGCAAAACUUUUUCUGUUGUUUUAUU
This is a long non-coding RNA of Acanthopagrus latus (yellowfin seabream), 504 nucleotides long. RefSeq lists it as uncharacterized. NCBI's taxonomy places the organism in Eukaryota, Metazoa, Chordata, Actinopteri, Spariformes, Sparidae. The transcript has 4 exons. The record is from RefSeq and is a predicted model, not a curated record.